GAGACAAAUCUUGGCCCUUGUUUUGGAAGAACGAUUGUUCUAAACUGGUAGAGCUCACGUUAGUGUGCUUCAGAGUAUCCCUAAGGCGCAGGCCACUGAGUUCCUCCACCAGUUUCUCACUCUGCACUUCUAAUGCACUUGUAGGUAAUGCUAAUAUCACUCUGUAGGGACCAUAAUUUGGGGAUCUUAAAGCCUCAUGUUGCCUCUGGUUAGUGCAAAAAGCUCUAGGAGGGAUCGCUGGCCCUUGAAAAAUCAGUGAUUGUCAUUUUAGAUGCCAAAAUAACUAAAGGGAAGUAGCUGCUCUCUGUAAUCUGGUCCCUGGCUGAGAGAGGCUGACAGAGGUUUAAAAAAAAUUGUUUAUAAAGGUGAAAAGUGGGAGGGAAAACAGAGCCACAAUGUGACACACAGGCCGUGAUCAAGAGCCUCACUGUGAGCUCCCUGGCCCCUCUGAACGCUGCCAUCCAGGGGAAACGGCCCCAAGGAAAGGGAAGCCCGUGGAUCCCGAAGCACAGACUGCGCCCUGUUUUUCUGCACACACCUCCCUCCCCACUCUUCUCCAGGAGGUUGCUGACUGGUUAGAACUGGCAGGUACGCAGAAGCAAGCUCACAGGGCGACACGGGUGAAGCAGUGGUUAACAAGGAGGAAGAAAUGGUCAGGAACAAAAUUUUGGCAGGUGGGGAGCGUGCAUCAUGAAAUGAACCACCCUCAACCCACUGGGACCUCUGGGGAGCCUAACAGAGACACCAGGAACCCAAGGGAACACGGCCCAUGGAAAGGUGGCUGAAUUCAUGGCAGCAAAUGUGCAUAAGAUCUGCUGAUGGAGAACAAGAAUUUGAAAUAUUAGUGAAAGAAGACGGGAAAAGCUGCCAUGUGAAUAGGUGUUGCAAAGGCUAAGGGGAAGGAGGGUGCUCAACGUGGCCAAAAGCUUCAAACAGAACAGAAAAUCAGCCAGGAGAAGAGCGGCCCAGCUCGACCUGCUGCCCACCCGGCAGCCUCAUUCCAAAGCCUGAGCUCUGUGCCUGGGGGGACAUGUGAGCAUCUCCACGCUCUCAGGGGCUCAGCAAGACUUCCUAAUGACCCGCUCAGUCCAGAGCGCUGAGGAAGUGUUGUCCAGGAGUAGAGAUCGCUGAGCAAAAACAUUUUGAAGCAGAAAAUUAUUUUGGUUAAUGAGUCACCAGGAUGUAAAAAGGCCUCCUCUGCAUGUACUCCCACCAUGACUCACUGUCACAGACCCCAAGUGUUGGGGUCUCUAAAGCCAUGAGCCAACGUAAAUCUCCCUUCAAAGUUGAUUUCUGUGAGGUGUUUCGUCACAGCAAUGGAAAGUGACUGAAGCACCCAAAGGAAAGCCAUAAAUGAAGCAAAUGAAGGCUGGGGGAAGCCCCCAGUGCAACACCAAUAGGAACACACGGGCCUAACCAUAAAGCAGGUCAUGCAGAGGGAGUGACCAGGUCAUGCCGAGGGAGAUGGGAAGAAGACCGCCAACUAAGGAACUUUGGAAAACAGGACGUGCCUAUGUAGACACCUACAACUUAGGAUGGUUCAACUUAGGAUUUUUUUUGACAUUAUGAUGGAAAUCCCAUACACACUCAGUAGAAACCAGUCUUUGAAUUUUGAUCUUUGCCCAGACUCACGAUACGUGGUGCAGUCCUCUCUGGAGAUGCUGGGUGGCAGCAGCAAGCCCCAGCUCCCAGCCGUACGAUCCUGAGGGUGAACCAGCGCUUCUCCAGUGUACUGUGCUGCGGAGGUCUGAGGUCAGUGAGAAUUGGAAGUCAGCACCUUCACCGCGAUGUCCAAGUGAACCUCACCGGGAAGCAGACGUAACAAUCUGAUGCCUCUCCUCUUAUUUUGCACCAGGAAGGCAGCAAAAUCCCUCUUGGGGUUUCCUUGCCAAAAAACAAGUACCCCAAAUUAAACACAGGCAAGAGCAGACACACUUAGAUGAGAGACUUGCUUAAGGUGUCAAGGUCACGAAAGACAUGGAAAGACCCAGGAACCGUCCCGGAUCGGAUGAGAUCAAGACAACUCGGUGGACCUUGGACCAGAAAAAUGAACACUAAUGAAAAAAAACUGGUGACUUUUGAACCAGGCUCAUUUGAGACUGGUUAAUAGCAUCAUAUUAUAUGCUAUUAUUACUUUUUGUUUUGAUAAUUGUCCUAUGAUUAUAUAAUGUGUAGCAUUUGGAAAAGCUGUGUAAAGUGUGGGUAGACCGAAACACUUUGUACUAUUUUGCAAGGUUUUUCAGAGGCUGUAAUCAUUUCAAAAUGAAAUGAAUAUGAAAAAAUGAAAACCUAAUACUACUUUUUAAAACUAGAUGAAUCCAAGCAGGAGCCUUAGAAGGCAGAAAAACGGGCAGUAAAAGCCCAGUUUCAGAUGGAGAAAACUGGAAUUUCACCCCGGUCUCAUCUGUAGCCAAUCCCUCAUUGGACAGUGUGACAGUCAACAAGGAAAUGACGAUUCUAAGAGAGCAUCCUGCACACAGAGCUGCCUUUUCUACCACCUUCUCUUUUUCUGGGUGUGGUUCCACAUUCUCCGGCGCUCAGCCCCUUCUUCCUGGAUGCCCAUGCUGCUUUACAUCUCUGAGCUCAGCACCUUCCCCUUGUCUGUCCUUUUUAGCCAAAGUCUGAGCUGCUUUCUUGCUUAGUGAUGCCUACAGCUACAGCUUUUUCUUAGACUCACACCUUUUAUUCCUUUAAAACAAAAAAAUAAAUCUGUGGUCAAAGUUUGUGCCUUAAUGGUAAUUGACAUCCCAUUACGAAGGAGCUUCCUCAAUAACAGCAAUGAUUUUUCACAAAAGGGAUGAAAGGAAGGUCCUUCGGGUCCUGUGCCUGAAAUAGGAUGGAAGUAAUAAAGGAGAAGGAGGAAGAAGAACCCAAGGUCCCGAGGGCAGAAGAUUUUCUUCUGAAACAGUGGCUCUCAAACCACAAUCUCAACGGGGUGUUGGGCAGAAGUGUUCAGUGACUGAAAUAGUGGCUCUGUUUUCACAGUUUAGUGGAGGGGGGAAAAAAACAGAGUGAGUUGAAGUCUUCCUCUUAAUCUGCCUGGGGCUUUUGUUCUCUUGGAAGAACAGAAAUUACUGCACACAGAAAAAGGUGCUCAGCAUGAGAGCUUGCUUUUCUGUGGACCGUGGGCUUGUGGCUCUGUCUGUGAUUGCACACAGAACAGACGCAUAUUUUCUGCUCGUCAAGAUGCUCACGUGCUUGGUGGGAUGAAACAGAUCAGAGUUCCAGGCGCUUUCUCGGCACAGAGCAUCCCAGCGUCUGGCUAUUUCCCCGAGAGUCUUUGCGGCUGGCUACCAUGCUGAAGACUCUCCCAGCUUCCUGGCUGUGAGUCUGUGCAUGCUAAAGAGGUAUGGCCAAGCUCUUAGCCAAGAACAUUGCAAAACACAAAGCCGGGGGCACCUCAGGGCCUCGUUGUACAAAUGAGGCCUUGUGCCCAGGAUGACUCCAGUUGGGGUAAGCAGGUACCAUCCAGAGAGUGAGACCAAGCCAAAGCUCUGCGGGCACCACCACGGCCUCCCUGCUCGGUGGUCAGGUGGUCAUCUGUUCCAGGGUCGGCCCCUGCCUCUUCCCAGUUCCUCUGCUCCUUUUUUCAUUUGGGAAAUUAUUUCUGAAGGUGUCCACAUUUGAAUUUAUUGCUCUGAGCGGAGUUUUGAAUAAAGCCUUCUACCAAUAAAGUUGCUACCUUUGACCGAUGAAGAGGUUUAUUGCACUGGGUGGACAUUCUGAAUUACUGAAGCUGGUAUAAAAAUAUGAAGUUUUUGAAAAUAUAAAGCAAAGUCCCUCAGCUUCCCGGGGACCGAGCUUGACACACUCUAGCUGUGUUGCCACCAUUUGAGGACAGACCUUUCGAAUGGCCCAAGUUGGAGACACACACACACACACACACACACACACACAGCAAGGUACAGGAAGCCAUGCCUCUGUGUCUAAGGGCUGGACUGGAUGGAUGCACAGUCCCCAGGACCAGGAGGACACUCUGCUGGGCUCUGCUGAGCCCUCCUGCUGUGUGCCUAGGGACCUGCGCUGGACAAGGCCACGCCUCAGAAGGGAGAGGCACAGUGGUGGAGCACAACAGAAAAAGACUGGCCCAGCGAGGUCAGAGCUAUUAGCCGUGGGCUUCCCACAAGUCAUGCCAUCUCUCUGGCCACACUCCCUUUAAUCGCACAAUCAGGAAUUUGAGCUAGAUGACUUCAAGCAUCACUUCACCUCUAAAAUUCUAAGAUAUCCUUUUGGGAUUUUUGACUGGAAGCCAUUCAUUUCCUAUAUAAACCUAAUUCCAUGAGAAUUAAAAGUAGAAUGCACUGCCUAUUAAUUUUUAAUGGAAAUGUUUACAGAGAAGAUAAAAUGAAUUUUUCUCAUGGGAAGUUCUCUUACACUGUUGAAGCAUAUGCCAAAAAAGAAAGUGGAAAUUGGCCAUAAAACAGUGAAUCUUUUCCUCUUUAUACGUUGUGCAGAAAGAUGAUUUUGGAAUGCUGUUUCUUUGGAUAAAUGGCUCCAACCUCCAGAUAACCCUAGGUGGCCUGAAAUUUCACCCUUCUGUGGGUAACUUUCCUAUGACCAGAAACAGAUGCCUGAAAUCCUUGUUUCUUAUUGUCUAUUUAUUCAUGUAUAGACAUCAACUUCAAAGACCCUGCUCAGAGGCUCGCAGCUUACUUUAAGUUGAACUAUUAGUUCAUUGUCUAUUACCAUAACGAAAUACCCGGGUCUAUUACUUUAUUUAAGCUCACAACUUUGAAGAAGUUGUGAAAAAAAAGUCUGACCACCAUGGUACUGGCUCUGUUGAGGACAACCAUGGUUGCAUCACAUCAUGGCAGAUGGCAUCAUGGCAGGAUGACCUGCAAGGAUCAUGUGGUGAGACAGGAAGCCAGAGCUACCAGGGAGAGAUCAGUAACAACCUCUCUCUAGGUCCCACCAUUUAAAGUUUUCACCACCCCUUAAGAUCAGUACAUUGGGACCAAUCUUCCAACACUAGAACCUUUGGUAACACACUCAAGCCAUACACAAACACUAGCAAACAGUCUGAGGACACUUUGAACCAUAAUCGUUUAAACUGUAAAACACUACUCACUCGUGUCCGUCAACAAGAGAACUAGUAGAGCUGCAGAAGCUAUUUAGUGGAGGGCUGAGCUUUGAAACAACCCAGGAGCGUCUGAAGAGUGACAGGGAACACUCAUGGGCUGUGUGGUAAUGAGAGACCCAAACACCAAGCACUCCACGGGUGCUGGGCUUGUCACUGAGGCCACUGUGGAGAAGUGGAUGUAGCCACGGAUGCGAGACUACACAAGGUGCAUGGAAGAGUGGGGGAACCAAAGAGCUGUCUCAAGACAACCACCUACAAGUCUUUGUUGGUGACAUUAGAGAAGACACAGAAGAACAUCACCUAUCAGGUCAUUUUGAACACUGUGGAAAAAUCAAAGUUACUGCAAUCAUAACUGAAUGAGGCAAUGGAAAGAAGAGGGGCUUUGCUUUUGUAAUUUUUGACGACCAUGCCUCCUUGGAUAGGAUUGUCAUUCAGAAACACCAUGCUAUGCAUGGCCACAACUGUGACAGGAGGCAAGCAAGAGAAAGCAGUGCUUCAUCUAGCCAAAGAGGUUAAGGUGGUUCUGGAAACUUUAGUGGGCAUGGAGGUUGUUUGGUGGCAAUCUGAGGAAUCCUCAGUGGCUGUGGUAGUGGAUAUGGUGGCCGCAGGGAUGGCUACCAUGGAUUUGGUAAUGAUGGAAGCAAGUUCAGAGGUAGUGAGAGCUACAGUGAUUUGGGCAAUUACAACAAAAGAGGAAACUUAGGAGGCAGAAGCUCUGGACCUUUUGGUGGUGAAGACCAAUACUUGGCCAUUCCAUGAAACCAAGUGGCUAUGGUGGUUCCAGCAGCAGCAGUAGCUGUGGUGGUGGCAGAAGGUUGUAAUGCUGCUAGGAAACAAAGCUUAGCAGGAAAGGAGAGCCAGAGAAGUGACCGGGAGGCUACAGGUUCCAACAGAUCUGUGAACUCAGCCAAGCACAGUGGUAGAGGGCCUCGCAGCCACCAAGAAGGGUUAGGCCACACAGGUUAUUCUCUUUUCUGUUCUUUGGAGGUGUAAAGCAUUCCAACAAAGCAUUUUAAUGUAGACUUUUUUGCACCCAUGCUGCUAAUUGCUAAAUGUGGUAGUCUGAUUAUGAUGCUGAAUAAGUGUGUCUUUUUAUACAAAUAAAAUAAAAAGGAAUGGACCUUUAAAACAUACUGAGCACCUGAAGACCACCUAAUAAGGCAAUCUACCACAUCACUUCACCAGCAAAAAACUCAAAACAAGACAGGUCUAAUCUUUGCAGAAAGAAAUCAGCAUUAGUGUUAGCUUGAAGAGGUCAGGCAGGAGAUGAGGGAAUCCCCUGAGCUGACGAAGGUGCUCUGCCUCUUGCUAGUGGGGGUGUUACAGAGGUGCAGAUGUUGCACCCCCAGAUGAGCUGUACAUUUAAGGUCUGUGAAGUUCACUGCAUGUAAAUCGUAUAUCAAUAAAGUUGUUCAUAGUUUUAAAAAUA
Long non-coding RNA from Marmota monax (woodchuck), 6509 nucleotides. RefSeq lists it as uncharacterized. NCBI's taxonomy places the organism in Eukaryota, Metazoa, Chordata, Mammalia, Rodentia, Sciuridae. The record is from RefSeq and is a predicted model, not a curated record. The transcript is spliced from 4 exons.